CCUCUAUUACACACCGCCCGUCACACCACGAGAGUUUGUAACCCUCAAAGACGGUGGGGUAACCUUUUGGAGCCAGCCGCCUAAGGUGGGACAGAUGAUUGGGGUGAAGUCGUACUCAGGAAGCCGUAUCGGAAGGUGCGGCUGGAUCACCUCCUUUCUAAGGAUAUUGCCUUUAGGGCAAUCGGAAUGCAGACCUUCUGGUCUGUAAUGUUGACCGCUUUGUUUGUUUAGUUUUGAGGGAGCAAUCCUUCAAGAAAUUCGUUCUUUGAAAACUAGAUAAUCGUAUAGAAGAAACCAAGUAAAAACCGAGAAUCGCCAUUUUAGUUUUUCUCUCUUAUUUUAAUGUAAGAGAUUAACCUUUAGGUUAAGUUAGAAAGGGCGCACGGUGGAUACCUAGGCACACAGAGA
Molecule: unclassified non-coding RNA, 408 nt
Filed under: uncultured organism
Description: partial contains 16S-23S ribosomal RNA intergenic spacer and 23S ribosomal RNA
Rfam family: Bacterial small subunit ribosomal RNA (bases 1-157)
Source: RNAcentral